This 69-nucleotide transfer RNA is filed under the name Myctophum affine (metallic lantern fish). Its description in RNAcentral is "tRNA-Glu". It matches the Rfam family "tRNA". Rfam says of the family: Transfer RNA (tRNA) molecules are approximately 80 nucleotides in length. Their secondary structure includes four short double-helical elements and three loops (D, anti-codon, and T loops). The record is from RNAcentral. Lineage: Eukaryota; Metazoa; Chordata; Actinopteri; Myctophiformes; Myctophidae.
GUUCUUAUAGUUGAAUCACAACGGUGGCUUUUCAUGUCAUUGGUCCAGGUUAAAAUCCUGGUAGGAAUU